Molecule: ribosomal RNA, 468 nt
Filed under: uncultured bacterium
Lineage: Bacteria
Description: partial 16S ribosomal RNA
Rfam family: Bacterial small subunit ribosomal RNA
Source: RNAcentral
GACGAACGCUGGCGGCGUGCUUAACACAUGCAAGUCGAACGGAAAGGCCCUGCUUUUGUGGGGUGCUCGAGUGGCGAACGGGUGAGUAACACGUGAGUAACCUGCCCUUGACUUUGGGAUAACUUCAGGAAACUGGGGCUAAUACCGGAUAGGAGCUCCUGCUGCAUGGUGGGGGUUGGAAAGUUUCGGCGGUUGGGGAUGGACUCGCGGCUUAUCAGCUUGUUGGUGGGGUAGUGGCUUACCAAGGCUUUGACGGGUAGCCGGCCUGAGAGGGUGACCGGCCACAUUGGGACUGAGAUACGGCCCAGACUCCUACGGGAGGCAGCAGUAGGGAAUAUUGCACAAUGGGCGGAAGCGUGAUGCAGCAACGCCGCGUGCGGGAUGACGGCCUUCGGGUUGUAAACCGCUUUCGCCUGUGACGAAGCGUGAGUGACGGUAAUGGGUAAAGAAGCACCGGCUAACUACGUG